GCCAGCAGCCAUAUCACCAUGCAAAUCACAACUGGCAGCCCACUGAAGCUGAUAUGAGCCUGGUCAGUACCUGGAUGGGAGAUCUCCUGGGAAGAAUUAAGGUUGCUGCUGGAA
Molecule: ribosomal RNA, 114 nt
Filed under: Lepisosteus oculatus (spotted gar)
Lineage: Eukaryota; Metazoa; Chordata; Actinopteri; Semionotiformes; Lepisosteidae
Source: RNAcentral